RNAcentral lists this ribosomal RNA (514 nucleotides) under uncultured swine feces bacterium F4. RNAcentral describes it as "bacterial SSU rRNA". It matches the Rfam family "Bacterial small subunit ribosomal RNA", at positions 7 to 398 of the family's 1533-position model. The record is from RNAcentral.
GAGAGUUUGAUUCUGGCUCAGGACGAACGCUGGCGGCGUGCUUAACACAUGCAAGUCGAACGGGCUGACACGCUAACACUGAACUUUUCAGCGUUAGACGACAGCGUUGCCGAAGUUUUGCAAAGCAAAACCGGCUACGCAUUUCAAAAAAAGUGCUAACACAACUUAGAAUGUUGAAAGGUUGAGUGUUAGCGUGGAUGCUAGUGGCAAACGGGUGAGUAACGCGUAGGCAACCUGCCCUUCAGAUGGGGACAACACUUCGAAAGAGGUGCUAAUACCGAAUGACGUAUCCCUUCCGCAUGGAGAGGAUACCAAAGGCCGGGCAACCGGUCACUGAAGGAUGGGCCUGCGUCUGAUUAGCUGGUUGGUGGGGUAACGGCCACCAAGGCGACGAUCAGUAGCCGGUCUGAGAGGAUGAACCGGCCACAUUGGGACUGAGACACGGCCCAAACUCCUACGGGAGGCAGCAGUGGGGAAUCUUCCGCAAUGGGCGCAAGCCUGACGGAGCAACGCC